This 391-nucleotide small RNA is filed under the name Arabidopsis thaliana (thale cress). RNAcentral describes it as "ATSL259230". The record is from RNAcentral. Lineage: Eukaryota; Viridiplantae; Streptophyta; Magnoliopsida; Brassicales; Brassicaceae.
CGACUAUUAAUAUUAUUUUAUUUUAAAAAAAAUUUAACUUGCUUUAAAAUACUUCAACAAAAAAAAAACAUAUGUUUUUUUUAGAGCUAACCAACCUCAAGUUUGAUUUUUUCAUUCUGUUGCGAAUAGAGACAUACAGUUCAACUGUGAAUAGAGUACGGUGCGGUUCAAAUAAGAACAAAAAUAUAUACAUACACAUAUAUGUAGAGAUUUUAGUUACUAUUGAAACCGCAACGCAUUGUUUGGUUCACCGCACCGGACUGCGGAAUUUGUGAUUUGUUCGGAAAAAAUUACGGCUUGUCGUUUUUUCAAAUGAUUGAGGUUUGGUGUACAAUAUUUUUAUUCAAGGUUAAUCUUGCUUUUCUUUUUGUAAUUUGGUGAUUUCUUUGCA